AUUGUCUUGGGUAAUAAGUAUGACCUGGGUAGGUGAUUGUCUUGGGUAAUAAGUAUGACCUGGGUAGGUGAUUGUCUUGGGUAAUAAGUAUGACCUGGGUAGGUGAUUGUCUUGGGUAAUAAGUAUGACCUGGGUAGGUGAUUGUCUUGGGUAAUAAGUAUGACCUGGGUAGGUGAUUGUCUUGGGUAAUAAGUAUGACCUGGGUAGGUGAUUGUCUUGGGUAAUAAGUAUGACCUGGGUAGGUUAUUGUCUUGGGUAAUAAGUAUGACCUGGGUCUUGGGUAAUAAGUAUGACCUGGGUAGGUGAUUGUCUUGGGUAAUAAGUAUGACCUGGGUCUUGGGUAAUAAGUAUGACCUGGGUAGGUGAUUGUCUUGGGUAAUAAGUAUGACCUGGGUCUUGGGUAAUAAGUAUGACCUGGGUAGGUGAUUGUCUUG
Oncorhynchus keta (chum salmon) is the source of this 434-nucleotide long non-coding RNA. RefSeq lists it as uncharacterized. The transcript is spliced from 3 exons. The record is from RefSeq and is a predicted model, not a curated record. Lineage: Eukaryota; Metazoa; Chordata; Actinopteri; Salmoniformes; Salmonidae.